Molecule: long non-coding RNA, 729 nt
Organism: Ostrinia nubilalis (European corn borer)
Lineage: Eukaryota; Metazoa; Arthropoda; Insecta; Lepidoptera; Crambidae
Exons: 3
Source: RefSeq, a predicted model, not a curated record
CAUCUAAGAAGACGAUCCUGACGCACUCUCUUCAACGACUUUGCACUAAACGGUCUCAAUAUCAUUGUUAAUUUAUACCGAAUAGACAAUUAAUUGUAUACAGUCCACUCUUUCAUUUAAUUAACUUCCACUACACUCACUAUCGAAGUAACAUAUUGGUCCAUCUACCGGAAAACUGAAUCCCGCUGAAGAAACGACUGCGGUAUCGAACUUUGACCCCGCGACACGUCCGCCGAUCUAUUGCGCCGUGUCACCAUCGCUAUCCGAGGAGUUGAAGAUCAGAGUCACCUGUGGAAUUUCUGGAUAAGGAUACGGGUGUUUUACCGACAUUGAGCUGCUAUCAGACAAUCCAGAGGAGGCCUAUGCCGAGCGCUUCAAAUUCGAAGACACCUUUUAUCCGCUGGUUGCACAGGCGCGAAAGCUCCUGGAGGCCAGUCAGCAACUUCAGAACAAGCUUUCUGCAGGUUCCGUAUCAGGCUCCGAGGUAUCAGCUGUGGUGAGAGUGGUGAGCGACAAAGGUCAAAGGUACAGCGCCAGAGUCCUGCUCGACAACGGUAGUACAGCUCACUUUGUUACUGACGCCGUGUGUACCAAGCUCGGAUUGUCCCGAGUUGGCAACAGUUCCAAGGUUACAGGUAUUAACAAUAUAACUAGUACUAGUACACAGUCUUGUAACCUCACCAUCGAAUCAAUGCAUAAUGAGUACUCAGUUAAAAUUAAUUGCCACAU